AGACCCGAAACCCGGUGAUCUAGCCAUGGGCAGGUUGAAGGUUGGGUAACACUAACUGGAGGACCGAACCGACUAAUGUUGAAAAAUUAGCGGAUGACCUGUGGCUGGGGGUGAAAGGCCAAUCAAACCGGGAGAUAGCUGGUUCUCCCCGAAAGCUAUUUAGGUAGCGCCUCGUGAAUUCAUCUCCGGGGGUAGAGCACUGUUUCGGCUAGGGGGCCAUCCCGGCUUACCAACCCGAUGCAAACUGCGAAUACCGGAGAAUGUUAUCACGGGAGACACACGGCGGGUGCUAACGUCCGUCGUGAAGAGGGAAACAACCCAGACCGCCAGCUAAGGUCCCAAAGUCAUGGUUAAGUGGGAAACGAUGUGGGAAGGCCCAGACAGCCAGGAUGUUGGCUUAGAAGCAGCCAUCAUUUAAAGAAAGCGUAAUAGCUCACUGGUCGAGUCGGCCUGCGCGGAAGAUGUAACGGGGCUAAACCAUGCACCGAAGCUGCGGCAGCGAACGUAUCACCCAAGACAACUUUACGGAGUUGACGAUUGACGGAGCGAAGCGACGUCAAAGCGUUCAUUAAAGUCGAGUUGGCUUAGGGAUACGUUCGUUGGGUAGGGGAGCGUUCUGUAAGCCUGUGAAGGUGUGUCGUGAGGCAUGCUGGAGGUAUCAGAAGUGCGAAUGCUGACAUAAGUAACGAUAAAGCGGGUGAAAAGCCCGCUCGCCGGAAGACCAAGGGUUCCUGUCCAACGUUAAUCGGGGCAGGGUGAGUCGACCCCUAAGGCGAGGCCGAAAGGCGUAGUCGAUGGGAAACGGGUUAAUAUUCCCGUACUUGGUGUUACUGCGAAGGGGGGACGGAGAAGGCUAUGUUGGCCGGGCGACGGUU
Molecule: ribosomal RNA, 875 nt
Filed under: Salmonella enterica
Lineage: Bacteria; Pseudomonadati; Pseudomonadota; Gammaproteobacteria; Enterobacterales; Enterobacteriaceae
Also listed under: 4 other names
Description: partial 23S ribosomal RNA
Rfam family: Bacterial large subunit ribosomal RNA
Source: RNAcentral